Molecule: non-coding RNA, 135 nt
Organism: Triticum urartu
Lineage: Eukaryota; Viridiplantae; Streptophyta; Magnoliopsida; Poales; Poaceae
Source: Rfam
CAACUACUCCCUCUGUCCCAAAUUUCUUGUCUUAGAUUUGUCUAGAUACAUAUGUAUCUAAUACUAAAAUGUGACUUGAUACAUCAUUAUCUAGACAAAUCUAAGACAAGAAUUUUGGGACGGGGGGAGUACUUU